RNAcentral lists this ribosomal RNA (393 nucleotides) under uncultured nitrite-oxidizing bacterium. Its description in RNAcentral is "bacterial SSU rRNA". It matches the Rfam family "Bacterial small subunit ribosomal RNA", at positions 521 to 916 of the family's 1533-position model. The record is from RNAcentral.
UAAUACGAAGGUGGCAAGCGUUGUUCGGAUUCACUGGGCGUACAGGGAGCGUAGGCGGUUGAGUAAGCCCUCCGUGAAAUCUCCGGGCCUAACCCGGAAAGUGCAGAGGGGACUGCUCGGCUAGAGGAUGGGAGAGGAGCGCGGAAUUCCCGGUGUAGCGGUGAAAUGCGUAGAGAUCGGGAGGAAGGCCGGUGGCGAAGGCGGCGCUCUGGAACAUUUCUGACGCUGAGGCUCGAAAGCGUGGGGAGCAAACAGGAUUAGAUACCCUGGUAGUCCACGCCUUAAACUAUGGAUACUAAGUGUCGGCGGGUUACCGCCGGUGCCGCAGCUAACGCAGUAAGUAUCCCGCCUGGGAAGUACGGCCGCAAGGUUGAAACUCAAAUGAAUUGACGG